This 486-nucleotide ribosomal RNA is filed under the name uncultured Pseudoclavibacter sp. RNAcentral's name for it is "bacterial SSU rRNA". It matches the Rfam family "Bacterial small subunit ribosomal RNA", at positions 8 to 507 of the family's 1533-position model. Lineage: Bacteria; Bacillati; Actinomycetota; Actinomycetes; Micrococcales; Microbacteriaceae. The record is from RNAcentral.
AGAGUUUGAUCCUGCUCAGACGAACGCUGGCGGCGUGCUUAACACAUGCAAGUCGAACGAUGAAGCCCAGCUUGCUGGGUGGAUUAGUGGCGAACGGGUGAGUAACACGUGAGCAACGUGCCCAUAACUCUGGGAUAACCUCCGGAAACGGUGGCUAAUACUGGAUAUCUAACACGAUCGCAUGGUCUGUGUUUGGAAAGAUUUUUUGGUUAUGGAUCGGCUCACGGCCUAUCAGCUUGUUGGUGAGGUAAUGGCUCACCCAAGGCGACGACGGGUAGCCGGCCUGAGAGGGUGACCGGCCACACUGGGACUGAGACACGGCCCAGACUCCUACGGGAGGCAGCAGUGGGGAAUAUUGCACAAUGGGCGAAAGCCUGAUGCAGCAACGCCGCGUGAGGGAUGACGGCCUUCGGGUUGUAAACCUCUUUUAGUAGGGAAGAGGCGAAAGUGACGGUACCUGCAGAAAAAGCACCGGCUAACUACGUG